CCCUGUAUCUCUAUUGCGUCUCAAAGCACAAACACAAACGGAGAGAAGAGAGAUUGUGUGCGUGCGUGUUUGUGUGUGUGUGUGUUAAUGAGAGAGAUGUCCAGGAGAUCAGGCAAUUGUGUGAGGUGCUGUCUCGUAAUAUUUGCUGUAGUUUCAGCUCUAGCUGUGUGUGGACCUGCUCUGUUUUGGAGAUUUAAGAAGGGAGUUAGUUUAGGUGAUAACAAAUCUUCUUGUCCUCCUUGUAAUUGCGAUUGCCCUCCUCCUCUUUCUCUUCUCAAGAUUGCGCCUGGUAAGUGUUGCUUUCAUGAUUUCUGCUUGUGGGUUGUUUUCAAGUCAUGAGCUUGAUUGAUUAUACGCUGAUUAGAGUGAUUUUGAGGAGUAUCUAUUUCAUCGAGUUGAUAUCUUUGAUCUACUGUUUAUGCCUUUUACUCAGCGGCAGGUUUUAAUGAUUUCUGUUUGUGGGUUUUGCUUUCAAGUUUUGAUUUUGUUUGAUUGUAUGUGGAUUAUAGUGAAUUUGAGUAGUUCUCAUUUUAUCAAGUUGAGAUUUUGAUUUGUUGGUAUAGCUCAUUUUUUGCUAUCUGGGUUGCUGUCGAGUUCUGAUUGGUUAAAUGCUGAUUAGAGUAAAAUAAUUAGCUUGAGGUUUUGAUCUACAGUUGUUGCUAAUUUUGAUGUCUGAGCUUUGUGUAUAAUGGAAUAGUUGCAAUAGAAUGAGGAAUAAAUUCUAAUUCAAGUCAGAUUUAUUUUCCAUUCUUUUAUGAUAUAAUUAAGGUUGCUUAUGUCAUCAAAUUUUGAGGUUCUGAUCAGCUGUUAUUGGUGAUUCUUGGUUUGGCUCUCAAUCUUCUUGGUCACCAGGGAUGUGAUUGUAUUACAGUCUUAAUCUAUCUUCUUUACACCCAAACUAAACAGAGACGUGAGCAGUAGUGAUGACUGAACGAAGACCGAGACGGCUCCUGAAGUGAACAAGACUUAAUGAUUUUUUGUAAUAACUGUCGGGUAAUGUUUACAAGUAAAACACAGCUCAUUAAAAUACUCGAACGGAACUGACUGACUUCUUUGCAUACAAAAAAAGGUUAAAACUUUUCACAUACAAGCUGAAGUAGAUUCAUUCAUUCAUUGAUAGUAAAAGCCCCAUCAAUCAAAGCAUACACAUUAGAUCUCCCCUGUAUCUCUAUUGCGUCUCAAAGCACAAACACAAACGGAGAGAAGAGAGAUUGUGUGCGUGCGUGUUUGUGUGUGUGUGUGUUAAUGAGAGAGAUGUCCAGGAGAUCAGGCAAUUGUGUGAGGUGCUGUCUCGUAAUAUUUGCUGUAGUUUCAGCUCUAGCUGUGUGUGGACCUGCUCUGUUUUGGAGAUUUAAGAAGGGAGUUAGUUUAGGUGAUAACAAAUCUUCUUGUCCUCCUUGUAAUUGCGAUUGCCCUCCUCCUCUUUCUCUUCUCAAGAUUGCGCCUGGUAAGUGUUGCUUUCAUGAUUUCUGCUUGUGGGUUGUUUUCAAGUCAUGAGCUUGAUUGAUUAUACGCUGAUUAGAGUGAUUUUGAGGAGUAUCUAUUUCAUCGAGUUGAUAUCUUUGAUCUACUGUUUAUGCCUUUUACUCAGCGGCAGGUUUUAAUGAUUUCUGUUUGUGGGUUUUGCUUUCAAGUUUUGAUUUUGUUUGAUUGUAUGUGGAUUAUAGUGAAUUUGAGUAGUUCUCAUUUUAUCAAGUUGAGAUUUUGAUUUGUUGGUAUAGCUCAUUUUUUGCUAUCUGGGUUGCUGUCGAGUUCUGAUUGGUUAAAUGCUGAUUAGAGUAAAAUAAUUAGCUUGAGGUUUUGAUCUACAGUUGUUGCUAAUUUUGAUGUCUGAGCUUUGUGUAUAAUGGAAUAGUUGCAAUAGAAUGAGGAAUAAAUUCUAAUUCAAGUCAGAUUUAUUUUCCAUUCUUUUAUGAUAUAAUUAAGGUUGCUUAUGUCAUCAAAUUUUGAGGUUCUGAUCAGCUGUUAUUGGUGAUUCUUGGUUUGGCUCUCAAUCUUCUUGGUCACCAGGGAUGUGAUUGUAUUACAGUCUUAAUCUAUCUUCUUUACACGUGAUCCGAGUAAAAGUAAUUAGGUGUUCAUUUCAUCAGGAUGAUACUUAAAUUUUUUGUUAUGUGGUUGACUCUUUUUCCUUGCUUGGGUAUCGCAGUGAUCAGGAUAAGCUUAAUCUUGCUUGACGAUUAUCUUAAAUCUUUAGUUCCAUGACGUUUUAAUUAGAAUGAAAAUCUAGGAAUGCUGUUUUGGUCAAUGCUUCAGCAUUAUAAAUCCAAUAAAUUGUAUUCAUUCGACAGUUGAUCACCCCCAAAACCACUGAAAGAGAAAUUGUGAAGUUUUUGUGAACUAUGAUUUCAAUGGAAGAAAAGAUUUUCCAGAGAGAAAAUUUUGUACUGUACACUUUUUUAUUAUUGGAAGUGGGUCUCUUAAGUUGAUAGUCAAUAUGAAAUAGUGGUUGCUUUGCUGCGGCUGUUAGCUUUUGAAAUGUCAUACAGGUUCCUUAAUUCCAAUUGACAUCUGCAAGUUUUUUACCUCACUGUUUAAUAUGUAGGAAUUUUUUUUUGGAAAUUGAAAUUUCAAAGUCUCUACAUAGAUGCUGAUGUUACCUUUCGGAUUUUCUUAUUUCCUGCAGGGUUAGCCAAUCUCUCAGUCACAGGUUAGAGCUCACUCUCCUAGCUUAACUUGGUGAAGAACUUCUUGCUUUUGUCCUUCUUUCUUAUUUUACUCAAAUUCGACUGCUUUGUUGGGUUUUCUUGACCCUUAGUGUUUAUUGCAUUCCACCUAUCAGCAGGCUAGUAUAUUGCAUUUUGGCAGAGUAACACGUUACUUAGCUCAUAAAUUAUGUAUCAGGCUAGUAGAUUGCAUUUUGCUGAGUAACCUGUUACUCAGCUUAUAAAUUAUGUACUCUUAUAUCAGUUUACAGGAAACAUAGUUUUUUUUUUCUUUUUUUGUAUUAAUGUUUGAUCUCUAAAUUCUUUUCAUCAUAAUUCACAUAUUGGUAAAAGAUUGAGCUACUCAUGCAUUUGCUCUUAACUGAUUAUACUAAAUAAAUUAUGAGAUAUCUCUCUGCAAGUUUGAGCCUUUGGAUCCUAAGAACAGUAUGUCGGGCAAGGGUAUAUUUUUCUUUUUCGGGCAGAUGUUACUUAAGUGGAAAUGUAGAAGUUUGAUAAAAUGGUUGCUUCAGAAAAUAUACUUUGCUGCCAAAAGCCUUUUAGCUCAUUCUUUUGUCAGCUUUCCCUUUUUGUUGCUCAGAUUCCUAGCGUGUAGUUUUUC
RNAcentral lists this long non-coding RNA (3267 nucleotides) under Citrus sinensis (sweet orange). RNAcentral describes it as "long non-coding RNA (CSIN_LNC001557)". Lineage: Eukaryota; Viridiplantae; Streptophyta; Magnoliopsida; Sapindales; Rutaceae. The record is from RNAcentral.